GGAAACCAGAAUAGACAUCUGUGUAAGGAUGUUCUCUGAAGCACUGUCUAACACUAUUUUACAGGAGCAAAAGCUUGGAGUGAAAUAAUAACAGCGUGGUGAGGAGGCUGCUGGUCAGAUACUCUGCUGUAUAUGGAAACUAUGGGAUUCUGUUCUGCCAGUUAAAGAUGAUGCCACAGAAAUCUUCGAAUGUUGUAGAAAGAUGGAUGUGAUCAGUAUCCUUGCAGCCUGCAUCCAUCAACACAAGACUGCAGUCUUUGGCUGCCGAGGCUGAAGCCGAGUCAGAGCUCUCACCUCUUCUGGAACUGACCCUGACAAUGGCAGAUGAUAUGGAAAUGAAUAGGAUAAUACUCUACUGACCUGACAGGGCUCACAUUGAGCCUUAACUGAGAUAAUUCAUGAACAGUGCAAAAUCAAGCUCGG
Molecule: long non-coding RNA, 423 nt
Filed under: Heterocephalus glaber (naked mole-rat)
Lineage: Eukaryota; Metazoa; Chordata; Mammalia; Rodentia; Bathyergidae
Description: lncRNA (ENSHGLG00100036229.1)
Source: RNAcentral